RNAcentral lists this ribosomal RNA (196 nucleotides) under uncultured Lactococcus sp. RNAcentral describes it as "partial 16S ribosomal RNA". It matches the Rfam family "Bacterial small subunit ribosomal RNA", at positions 338 to 525 of the family's 1533-position model. Lineage: Bacteria; Bacillati; Bacillota; Bacilli; Lactobacillales; Streptococcaceae. The record is from RNAcentral.
CCUACGGGAGGCAGCAGUAGGGAAUCUUCGGCAAUGGGGGCAACCCUGACCGAGCAACGCCGCGUGAGUGAAGAAGGUUUUCGGAUCGUAAAACUCUGUUGUUAGAGAAGAACGUUAAGUAGAGUGGAAAAUUACUUAAGUGACGGUAUCUAACCAGAAAGGGACGGCUAACUACGUGCCAGCAGCCGCGGUAAUA